Molecule: ribosomal RNA, 309 nt
Filed under: uncultured Bacillota bacterium
Lineage: Bacteria; Bacillati; Bacillota
Description: bacterial SSU rRNA
Rfam family: Bacterial small subunit ribosomal RNA
Source: RNAcentral
GAUGAACGCUGGCGGCGUGCCUAACACAUGCAAGUCGAGCGAUCCCUUCGGGGAGAGCGGCGGACGGGUGAGUAACGCGUGGGUAACCUGCCCUGUACACACGGAUAACAUACCGAAAGGUAUGCUAAUACGGGAUAACAUAUGAAAGUUGCAUAGCUUUCAUAUCAAAGCUUUUGCGGUACAGGAUGGACCCGCGUCUGAUUAGCUAGUUGGUAAGGUAACGGCUUACCAAGGCAACGAUCAGUAGCCGACCUGAGAGGGUGAUCGGCCACACUGGAACUGAGACACGGUCCAGACUCCUACGGGAGG